GUUAAUAAAAAUCGGUGCGUUGCAAUUUUUUGUGACGUUCUGGAGUUUGAGUUAUCUUAACUUGGUUCUAAGAGGCUUAAAAUUGACCUUUUUUGUGCAUUUUAGACGUACAUAAAUUUUUUUUAUUCGUCCAUCCUAAUGCCAAAAUCUAUUAGAUGCGACCAUAUCUUGUGGUUCCGUGUCUAUAAAUUUUUCAUG
This 198-nucleotide unclassified non-coding RNA is filed under the name uncultured Rhizophagus. RNAcentral's name for it is "partial internal transcribed spacer 2". The record is from RNAcentral. Lineage: Eukaryota; Fungi; Glomeromycota; Glomeromycetes; Glomerales; Glomeraceae.